AAGUAGUUAGUUUAAUAAAAACUUUUGAUUUCGGCUCAAACGAUUAUGGUUAAAUUCCAUAACCUCUUA
RNAcentral lists this transfer RNA (69 nucleotides) under Epiplatys lamottei (redspotted panchax). RNAcentral describes it as "tRNA-Arg". It matches the Rfam family "tRNA". Rfam says of the family: Transfer RNA (tRNA) molecules are approximately 80 nucleotides in length. Their secondary structure includes four short double-helical elements and three loops (D, anti-codon, and T loops). The record is from RNAcentral. Lineage: Eukaryota; Metazoa; Chordata; Actinopteri; Cyprinodontiformes; Nothobranchiidae.